GACGAACGCUGGCGGCGUGCUUAACACAUGCAAGUCGAACGGAAAGGCCCUGCUUUUGUGGGGUGCUCGAGUGGCGAACGGGUGAGUAACACGUGAGUAACCUGCCCUUGACUUUGGGAUAACUUCAGGAAACUGGGGCUAAUACCGGAUAGGAGCUCCUGCUGCAUGGUGGGGGUUGGAAAGUUUCGGCGGUUGGGGAUGGACUCGCGGCUUAUCAGCUUGUUGGUGGGGUAGUGGCUUACCAAGGCUUUGACGGGUAGCCGGCCUGAGAGGGUGACCGGCCACAUUGGGACUGAGAUACGGCCCAGACUCCUACGGGAGGCAGCAGUGGGGAAUAUUGCACAAUGGGCGGGAGCCUGAUGCAGCAACGCCGCGUGCGGGAUGACGGCCUUCGGGUUGUAAACCGCUUUCGCCUGUGACGAAGCGUGAGUGACGGUAAUGGGGAAAGAAGCACCGGCUAACUACGG
Molecule: ribosomal RNA, 467 nt
Filed under: uncultured bacterium
Lineage: Bacteria
Description: partial 16S ribosomal RNA
Rfam family: Bacterial small subunit ribosomal RNA
Source: RNAcentral